This 406-nucleotide ribosomal RNA is filed under the name uncultured bacterium. RNAcentral describes it as "partial 16S ribosomal RNA". It matches the Rfam family "Bacterial small subunit ribosomal RNA", at positions 28 to 526 of the family's 1533-position model. The record is from RNAcentral.
GACGAACGCUGGCGGCGUGCCUAAUACAUGCAAGUCGAACGAGUGGCGGACGGGUGAGUAACACGUGGGAACCUACCCAUCAGAGGGGGAUAACUACUGGAAACGGUGGCUAAUACCGCAUACUAUCGGAUGAACCCAUAUGGGUUUAGCUAGUAGGUGGGGUAAAGGCUCACCUAGGCGAAGAUCUCUAGCUGGUCUGAGAGGAUGACGUGCCACAAUGGGACUGAGACACGGCCCAGAAUCCUACGGAAGGAGGCAGUGGAGAAUAUUGAACAAUGGGCGCAAGCCUGAUGCAGCCAUGCCGCGUGUAUGAAGAAGGCCUUAGGGUUGUAAAGUACUUUAAGCGGUGAGGCGUUACCCGCAGAAGAAGCACCGGCUAACUCCGUGCCAGCAGCCGCGGUAAUUC